CCCCCCCCCCCCCUUCUCUCUUGGGUCAUUGGGCAACACUGUUGAUCUAUCUUGAUUUGUGGGAAUUAGUUCAGAAUCAUUGUGUAGAAUAUGAUAAUUUGUAAGGGAGAAUUACACUUGCUCAAAGAACAGAGAUGAAAAAAAAAAAAAAAAUGCUAAGGCCCUAUCCUAUUUUAGCAAAAGGCUUGGAUGACGGAAAAAUCAAGCGUUGGAAUCAAAAGAGUUAAUCAGUCUGAUGGAAAAGAGGCAGUCAUCAAAGUAAUGGUGAUAUACCCGUAUUUUAUAAUUGAAAAAAAAAGGGGCCCUAUUGAAAAACAUUGUUGGUACAGGAAUAAAGACCCCAAUGUUCCUUGGUGCUCCAUCUAUAUAAAGAAUAGACACGUAGAAAAAGAGUUUUGGUACAAUCCUAAAAAUCAGCUAAUUUUCAUGAAGAAAAAGGUGACAAUGAAAUGUCAAUGAAGAACACUUGUUUGUAUCUUACCUCAUUGCCACUACAAAAAAUAUUUGGUAACCGAUAGCGGCUUUAGUAAUUAUAUGACUAGUGAUAAAUCUAUUUCUAGAAACUGAUGGAUCUCUGACAUCUCAGGUGUGCAUGGGGAAUGAUAGCCAAGAUCGAGUUCGAGGCAAAUGAGUAGUUGCAACAAAUACCAAAUUUGAUAAGAAAUUGAUUGAUAAGAUUUUAUAUGUGUCAGGUUUGGCUCAAAAUUUGAUUAGUUUGUGGUAGCCAAUGAAGAAAGGUUCUUUAGUCAUUUUAAAGAUGAUAGAUGCAUGCUAUACAACAAAGGGAAUAAGAAAUUAUUAUUAUAUUUAAGAAUUUCGUUUUCUUUUGAUUUUUUAAGCUCAGAAAUGAAGUUAAUCGGAUAAAAAUUGGGUCACUAGAAUUUUUUUUUUCUUCAGAACAUAAGAAUGCUGCAAUGCAAUUUUGAAACAUAUUGAGUUAAUAGAAAAUUAAUACUAGUUUUUAAAAAACAAAAGCCAAUGGCCAAUGUAUGAACAAAUUAGUUAUUACAUUUAUUAUAUUUGGGGAUAAAAGGAGUUAAAUAAUUAUAUAAAGAUAUACUCCGUAUUAUAUUAUUAGAUGUUGCUGUGUCUUUGUUUCCGUGUCCUAUUUUUUGAUACUUUGUCGUAUCACCGAAUCCCAGUGUUUGUAUGUGUGUUUCAUAGGUGUGGAAGCAUUUGGUUUGGCAUUUUGCACUGGAGUGCUAAAAGUAGGAAUUUUUUAGCUUGUGUAGAACCUUAUGUAAAUUGUCUAUUGGCUUAUCACACCAAUUAUGGCUGCACCUGAGUUAAUUUGAGUUGAUCUAAAAUGAGUGCUUCAUUGACCCCACAUUCAUCUCCUUCUUAAGAUGGCAAUUGGCUGAGGGUUACAUCCAUAAAUCCUUCUUAAGAUGGCAAUUGGCAAAUGGAGUUCAUCUCAAGUUUACUUCUACAGUGAUAAGCACGGUAUAGGAGUGAUCUGACUCUGUUUUCCUUUUUAAGUAUGCAAUAUGCUCUGUAGGGGCUCUUACUGAAAUUCUGCAGAUUUUACUAUUGGAUUUGUUAAUUGCAUUGUUUAAUACUAGAUUGGUUUAGAAUAUAGCAAAUGAUGGAAUGCUUAUGCAGCAAAAGUAAAACAUCAUAGAUAAAUUGUCAUACACUGUUGAUGGUAAUUUUUUAUUCUGUUCAAACUGUUAUCAGGUUUGUUUGGCAUUUGGCAAUAUUAGGCUUUUAGCAUUUUUGUCAAUAAGCUUAUAACUUCUUUCGGCAGACAUCACAAUUGCCCAAAUGGUUGAAUUAAUAUUCCAGCAUUCGUAACCAUCUGGUUCUAAGGCUUCCAUUUGUAAGGUAUAAAGGCCAGCAGGUGUUUGUUCCUUGUCCAAAUACGUGAGCAUACGAAGCUUCUGAAAAAUCAAAGUAAUUCUACCAGCUAGCACUUUAUCUUGAUGUAAAGCAUACCAUUUUGAUCCUUCUUUGACAUUCCCAAAGGCAAAUACUAAAUCUUAUGGGAUUAGCUUGUGUCGUGUCUCUUUAAUUCCCAAACUAAUAUAUCGCGUCUUGGUCCCAAAAUGUUUCCAUCUUAUUAAUGAUUAGAUUGCUUAUUAAUGAGUUGAAGUGUUUAGAAUGUUAUUGUUACCCUUUGAGGAGAACAUGGAGUUAUUGUUUUUGUAUGGUUAUUUUCGCUCUUUGAUUAGCUGCACUUUCGCUGCGUAUGAAAAAGAUCCCUCAUCUGUCUUCCUUUGUAAACCAUCCUUGCAUUUUGGUAAUAUUUCGUGGUUUCUUAUCCCUGAAAAGAGAGAGAAAAAGAACAACUGAGUUGAAUUAAUAAUUUUCCUUGUUUUAGGCUGAUUGUUCAUAAAGAACCAUAUGAGCUUUUAUAUGAUAGUUUUAUUUCUUGAUUGACUAUACGAAUAUCUUGGAGAUCAUUUUGAAGGUUCAUGGCUUUGCUUUGAAUGUAACAAAAAGCCGAUAAUGUUAAAUAAAAAAUCUAGUACUGAAGGAGAUGAACUUGCUUGUUUUCCAAAUUGGGCUGUCUUUAAAUCUGGCGGGGACCAAAUCAUUUUGGUAGAUAAGGUAAAAAAUGAAGCUUUAAUAUGGGUUUUUAGAGCUCACACAAUCUCCCCUGCUAAUUUAUUUUUAACUGAUGCUAAAAUGUGUACUAGACAUGGAGACACUUUUGAUGAAGCUUGCAGGACAAUGAUGUUGAUUAUAUAAUUUAUAUUAUUAUGUGUUAAUUUACAUGUGAUGCAUUAGUGUGAAGGCAUUUUGGUUUGGCAAUUUGCUCUGGGUGCUAUAAUUUUUAAAUUGUAAGCUCAUCUAGAAUUUUUUUGUAAAUAGACAAUUAGCUUACCCCUCCAAUUAAGAUUUAAGGCUGCAAUCAAGUUGGUUUUAGUUGAUCUAGGCAUUACAAUGAGUGCUACAUUCAGCCCACCUUCAGGUCCUCCUCAAGCUAGCAAUUAUCCCGGUCCUGAUUUUUGGUAAGAUAAAAUUACCCAUUGCAUUCAGUCAAAUUCAUUAGGGUUUUGUGUCACCAUGAUGGGGUUCUGUUAGUGAUUAGCAAUCACAGAAAAUGUUCUCAACUUCAUUUGUUUUAAGUGAAUUUUAUUAGGGUUCCAUCGGUAAUUAGCAAUCACACUAUAAAUGUUGUCACCUGUCUAUAUCCUUAUCUUUUAUUUUGGUGCAACUAGUUCAAGAGAAAAUAUCUUGGAAACUCCAAACACCACGUCAAAUGAUUUGAAUUCUGAACUGAACAUAAUUAUUGGAUUUGGGUUCCUCUGGUAAUUAGCAAUCUCAGAAGGAGCAAGACAUCCGCGGGUUGAGUCGGUGUCCAAUGAUGUCCAAUGGCUGGCAAUGAGUUCCCAGGGCACAAAAGAAGAAUAAAAGAAAAAUAAGAUAACUCGCGGAUAGAAGGAUCCUGGUUAGAGCUUUCCAUUGAAAAGGAAAAGCAACGAAGGGAAUGAUCAAAUAAUACUAGAAGUUUAAGCUUGUGAGAUGAAUUUGUACUGCUCCAGGUAUUCAUGUUCCACUGCUCGAUGCCAUUUUUCAGAUCAGUAUGCAUGCCAGGUAACAUUUUGCAUAUGAAUCUCCUUUCUCUUCAACCACAGCUUAGUAGGAACUGAGAUUGUGCAUGGAGAUUCUGGCCAAACGGUUAUGUUUCAGGUUUGCAUAUUCGAUGAGGAGAAGAAGUGGGUAGAUGAAUGCUUGUCCGGCCAAGCAUUGUUCUUGGGGGUAUAAUUGAGUGAUUUAUCUUUAGACUUUGGAGAAUUCGGAGUGCAAAGAAGGUGAAAUUUACUUCACAGAUGAUGAUGCAGAUAAAUUACAGGCCUGUGAAAGUGUUUUACUGACAUUCUGCAUUUUUACUAUUGGCACUGUUAUAUUGCAAGAUUUAAUACUUGAUUGGUUCUGAAUAUGGUAAAACGGGAUGCUAUGCUGCAAAAGUGAAAUAUUAUUGAUGGAUCGUCAUAUAUUGUUGGCGGUAAAUUUUUUGUUUUGUUCAAAUGUUACCUGGAUUUGCUUGGCA
Cornus florida is the source of this 3997-nucleotide long non-coding RNA. RefSeq lists it as uncharacterized. The transcript is spliced from 4 exons. NCBI's taxonomy places the organism in Eukaryota, Viridiplantae, Streptophyta, Magnoliopsida, Cornales, Cornaceae. The record is from RefSeq and is a predicted model, not a curated record.